This 200-nucleotide unclassified non-coding RNA is filed under the name Gautieria sp. Its description in RNAcentral is "partial internal transcribed spacer 2". The record is from RNAcentral. Lineage: Eukaryota; Fungi; Basidiomycota; Agaricomycetes; Gomphales; Gomphaceae.
UUAAGUUCGGCGGGUAGUCCUACCUGAUUUGAGGUCAGAUGACAUGAAAGGGGUCUUUCCUUUGUCCAAAGACGGCUGUAAGCGACCCGGGUCGGCAACGAACGGCGCACUAAGCGUUUGUUAUCACACCGUCGUCGGCACCGACCGUGAGGGACCGGCUAAUGCGUUUAAAGACGAGCGGGCCUUUCCGACCCGCAGGC